CCAGGGGGCCGGGCAGCCGCGGGUGCUUGCAUCCGAGGAAAGUCCGGGCUCCACGAAACGAGGGUGGCGGGUAACGCCCGCCGCGGGCAACCGUAGGGAAAGUGCCGCAGAGAGUAGACCGCCGAUGGCUCUUUCGGGAGAUCAGGCAAGGCUGAAAGGGUGCGGUAAGAGCGCACCGGGGUUCUGGUAACAGCGCUCGCAUGGCAAACCCCACCCGGAGCAAGGCCGAAUAGGGGUGGCGCGCUCUCGCAAGAGGGCCGGGGUGUUUCGCCCCGAGUGUAACAGCUGCGACCGCCCGGGUUGGCUGCUUGAGCCGCGGAGCGAUCCGCGGCCCAGACGAAUGGCUGCCGCCGCGGAUACGGUCCGGUUUCGGAUACCGUCUGCGGAGACAGAACCCGGCUUACAGGCCCCCUGGCGCU
RNAcentral lists this RNase P RNA (419 nucleotides) under Qipengyuania nanhaisediminis. RNAcentral's name for it is "Erythrobacter nanhaisediminis Bacterial RNase P class A". It matches the Rfam family "Bacterial RNase P class A". Rfam says of the family: Ribonuclease P (RNase P) is a ubiquitous endoribonuclease, found in archaea, bacteria and eukarya as well as chloroplasts and mitochondria. The record is from RNAcentral. Lineage: Bacteria; Pseudomonadati; Pseudomonadota; Alphaproteobacteria; Sphingomonadales; Erythrobacteraceae.